GGCCUGAUGGUCUAGGGGUAUGAUUCUCGCUUAGGGUGUGAGAGGUCCCGGGUUCAAAUCCCGGUCAGGCCC
Molecule: transfer RNA, 72 nt
Filed under: Penaeus japonicus
Lineage: Eukaryota; Metazoa; Arthropoda; Malacostraca; Decapoda; Penaeidae
Description: tRNA-Pro
Rfam family: tRNA
About the family: Transfer RNA (tRNA) molecules are approximately 80 nucleotides in length. Their secondary structure includes four short double-helical elements and three loops (D, anti-codon, and T loops). Further hydrogen bonds mediate the characteristic L-shaped molecular structure. tRNAs have two regions of fundamental functional importance: the anti-codon, which is responsible for specific mRNA codon recognition, and the 3' end, to which the tRNAs corresponding amino acid is attached (by aminoacyl-tRNA synthetases). tRNAs cope with the degeneracy of the genetic code in two manners: having more than one tRNA (with a specific anti-codon) for a particular amino acid; and 'wobble' base-pairing, i.e. permitting non-standard base-pairing at the 3rd anti-codon position.
Source: RNAcentral